CAGUAGCCACGGUAAUACGUAGGUGGCAAGCGCUGUCCGGAUUUACUGGGCGUAAAGCGCGCGCAGGCGGAUGGUUAAGUAGGAAGUGAAAGGUUGGAGCUCAACUCCAACAUUGCUCCCUAUACUGGCCGUCUUGAGUCCCGGAGAGGAAAGCGGAACGACACGUGGAGCGGUGAAAUGCGUUGAUAUGUGUCGGAACACCAAUGGCGAAGGCAGCUUUCUGGACGGGUACUGACGCUCAGGCGCGAAAGCCGAGGUAGCGAACAGGAUUAGAUACCCCGGUAGUCCCUGUCUCUUAUAC
Molecule: ribosomal RNA, 301 nt
Filed under: uncultured bacterium
Lineage: Bacteria
Description: partial 16S ribosomal RNA
Rfam family: Bacterial small subunit ribosomal RNA
Source: RNAcentral